CACUUCGGAGGGCGGGAACGCCCACCAUAAAAAAAAAUCAGAAAACGCCCCAGAAAAAUACCCGAUCCCUUUCCCCUCCCCCUCUCUCUCCCCCCUCUCCCCAUGGCAACGGAGGGUUCCGUCCUCGACCCUGUAAACGCCUGCCCGAUCUCGACCGGCCUCCGCGGAUCCGGCGGCGGCGCCUCCCCUCAUCGGCCCCCACAUCCCCCUCCUCUAUCGCCGUAGAUCCUCGAGCCGAACCCACGGGAUCUCCUCACCUCUCGAGUGCGGUGUACAUAGACGGCAGACAGGAUGAAGCCAGGCAACGGAAGGCAUCGAUCGAGCGCUAACGCAUACGAUUCUUGUGGGGUUUUUUUUUCCUCAAUGCUUUCAUAUUAUAAUUUUUAUCCCUUGGAUUUAUUCGCUCUCCUUGGAGGAAAUUUUCUUUGUUCAUCUCACUGGUGCGAAUCUUGGUUGAUUUUAUGAUUUUAUCCAUUAAAUACGAAUUAAGAUUCUCUUUUUAAUUUUAUCGAGAUUUUUGAUUGCCUGCUAAGAGCUGUUAGAUGUUAGAUGUUCGUCACUUUCUAAUCAUUUCACUUAGAAGAGUUUUUGGCCUUCUAUUGGCAUUUUUUGGAGCAUUUUACAAGGUUCAAGUUGUUGUGCUAUUAUUGGUGUUUUUUUUUUAAAAAAAAAAGAGAAGUUAAAUCUUAUCAUGGAAAGGCUCUUUCUUUUGGAAGUUUUCUGAUCUUGAGAGAUGUAAGGUUUUCAGACUUAUGUUGAUGUCCGUGUUUGAGCGGCAGAUAUAGAACCAUCUCGUGGCCGUGGCCCUUUUGCCUGAAAAUUGAGUGAAUUAUUUGUGUGAGAAAUGCGUGAGUAUUAAAAUAUUUAUGGUCAUGUUUACUGAUUGAUGAAGCUGAAAUCUAGAAAAAAACUGCCUCUCCGUUGCCUCUUGUGUUCUCUGAUUCUGGGUUUGUCUCUGCUGGAUUGCUUUUGUAUCAAGGAAAACAUCCUAUUAGGUUAUAUUUACCGUCUUUACCUUGCAUCUUUUUAUUUGCUUAACAAAGGGCUGGUGGGGGGCUUUUGCCCCUCCUCCCUUAUCAACGUAAAAGUGUCUUUCUUUUACUUAUUGCUGAAUUUUGUGCAGCAUCUCUGUUCACAGCCACCAUUUUUCUGAAAAAAAGAAAGGAAAGGAAAAAAGAAGUGGCCCUUUUAUGAGUCGCUUGUAUGAUCUGUCACGUUUGUCUGACAUUGUCUUUUAGGUAGGAUGCACCAUGGCAUGUUGUUUGCUUUUUCAGUGUUAUUUGUCCAUUGUAUUGCUAAUUGUUAUUGUUGUCUUCAUGCAAUGUGAAAUUGGUUUCACAUAAGACCCUUUGUGAGCUUUCCUACUGCUUCAAAUUCAUACCAAUUGGCUGAAUUAGGGUGAACCUAGUUAAUCAUAAGAUACAGUUUUCACAAAAUAGUUGACCAAUUCCUAACAAAGUUUUAUAAGGAAUUCUAGAUAGGCCUAGCAUUUCUCCUUCGCCUGUCGUUACUUUUGUCAACCAAUGCAUGGCUAAACAACAUACCACUCUUUCUGACUGCUCCUCAUAUACAUGUCCUAUAGGCACGUUCAUUUCAUUUUAAUGACAAUAAGCAUUUGAUCGAGUCUGAGAAAGUUUUGCAGGCUUCUUAGUUGCAUGAAGGUGUUUGAAUCAUUAUAUUGGGAACCACUAUGAGCUUUUGGGAGAAAGAGAGACUAUAUUGUCAAGUCAUAACACGAGUUAUUAUUAGUAGGAACAUAGUUGUCCUUGUUCUAAAUUUUGAAGAUAGAGCUUGUUUAUACUUUUACUGGUGUUUCAUCAUAGUAAGCUUUCAAAUCCUUCUCUCUUCGCCAUGAUGGUCAAUCUCAACUUGUUGGAAAGAAACAUCUGAGACUUAAUACCAGGCUUAUAAUUUAGAAGAAUAAUAUCAACCAUGUCUGUCCCCAUUUUGCAUGGGCAUAGAUGUGAAAUUAGAUUUUGUUGCUUACUGAAUUCAAACUUGGAAAGAAUAUUUAAUUAGAUCAUGUUCCAGCCACCACAGGUUAUGCAAGGACAUAGAUAUGGUUUACUUUUGUUGCUUGUUGAUGUCUGUGUCACCUUCCUUUUGUAUGAGCUGGUUGAGGUCUCUGGUGCACCCUGUUUCUUGGCCCUUUGGUUACUUGUGGUUCCUGUAAUUGCUCUGAUUGAGGUUUGGGGUCUUCUUCUUCUAAUCAUAGAAUUUUGGGGUGUAGGUAAACAAUAGACUCUUUGAGAAAUUAGAUCGUAUCCACCCACCACAGCUUUUGUGAGGACAUAUAUAUGGUUUGCCUUUUCUUUCUUGUUGUUGUCUGUGGCACCUCUCCUUUGUAUGUUCUGGUUGAGGUCUCCACUCAUUCUGUUUCUUGGCCCUUUGGUUUCUUGUGGUUCCUGUAAUUGCUCUGAUUGAGGCUUGGGGUUUCUUCUUCUUGUAACCAUAUAAUUUUUGGUCAUAGGUAACCAAUAGACUCUUUUCAGGACUUUCUCAAGUUAAAGUUUAAUGCUAACCUUUUCAGAAACUGCCUGGUAAAUUUGAUCCAAAUUUUAUCAUGCCCAACUCUUUCUUUCUCUUUCAAUCAAUGCACUUAUGCCCACACUAUGGUUAACUUGUACUUUAUCCUGGUCAUAGCCUUCCUAAUGUUAUAACACAUCUUCCUCACCACUCUUCUCAUUCUAAUGCUAAUCUGAUGUGCUUGGAAGGGAUUAAAGUGCCUGGGUCCAAAUAUUGUGGAUUAACCUCUCAUGAAUCGAACCUAGAUCCUCCUUCAAAUUGAUGAAAGUUGUGACCCCUUUGGUAUCACCCAGUUCACAAGUGCUUGCACCAUCAUUAUGUCCUCCAUGUUGAUAUAUUGAGCAGUGUCAACCUUGUUCGUCCAGAAUAUUCCUUUGAUCUCAAAGUUAUGCAACUGUCACAGCUGUCCGCCAUUUAACUUGUCUGCUCUGAUUCUGCUAUGCACAUCUUCCUCUAUCUAAUCUUUCAGCAUCUUUAUGUUCUCCAUGCUGAUAUAUUGAGCAGUGCCAACCUUGUUCGUCCAGAAUAUUCCCUUGAUCUUAAAGUUACACGACUGUCACAGUUGUCCGCCAUUUAACUUGUCUCCUAUGCACAUCCUUCUCUAUCUCAUUAUCCUUCUCCAGCCAAUAUGGCUGGCGAAAAUGAUCUCGCUGGUAUAUGUUUUGGUCAUCAAGUUUUAUGGCUUUGUUGGGAUUGCUCGUUUCAAAUUUUAUAAUAGAUCUUCCAAAGCAUACCUCCUUGGUUCUUAUUUAGCGCAUAACCUAAUCUUUGUCCCAUUUGUUCACUGUAUCAUUCAUAAAUAACACACACUAUGUAAAUGUUCCUUAAUAUUGAUAAUCAGUCCAUUCUUGUUAAAUGCAAAGAGGAAAGGGCUUAAGGUGGAACCUUGAUUUAGUCCCACUACAAGUAGAAAUUCAUUCAUUUCGCUGUUGUUAUAUGACAGACUAUUUUUUUCUUUUUUUUUUGCUAAUCUUCUUUAAUGAUGUUAAUGUACUGUUUGAUGCAUCUUGUUUGGUAGUGCCUAUCAUAUUCCUGAGAAUAUUCUAUAAUGCAAUACUUUAAUUCAAAGGAACUACGUAUAUAAUACAUACACACAAUAUUCCUCUUCAGAGUGUAGAUGUUUCUAAUGGUUGCCUAAGUAUGAAGCAACGUCCAUUAUUGACCCUUCUGGCAUAAGCAAGAUCAGCUCAUAUAUAUUUUUGACAUCUUCUUUAUUCCAAGAUCCAUCACACUACCUUUACAACAUUGGCAUUACCUGCAGGCUUCCAAAUGAGCGUGCAUAUGUGCAUGUGCUUGGGUGGGUUUGCAGGCGUGUACAUGCUUGUGCAUGUCUCUGUUAUAAGCAGGUUGCUGAUUGCUAGCAACUGGCAUCAUAAUCUAUUAACAUCGCUGUUUUGAUUGCAUUAUUUCAGGGCUAAAUAUUGUUAUGAACAUGAUUGUGUUUGUAUAAGAUAGACUAUCAGACCAAAAGUUUACGGUCAUGAAUUUUUGCAAUAAAGAGACAAACGAACGUGAGGGGCUCCUUUGCUGUUCAGAAGAAAAGGUCUCACAACUGUGAACAGGAACAAAAAUGCAUGCUGUUAGAUGCCCUCGAAUCGCCCUUCUCAAAAACCUAGUAGAAUAAGGUGCCCCAACUGCUUGGAAGGUUUUGUGCCUAGAGGUUUACAAGCGGUGCAUAAUGAGAGAGAGAGAGAGAGAGAGAGAGAGAGAGAGA
RNAcentral lists this long non-coding RNA (4240 nucleotides) under Phoenix dactylifera (date palm). RNAcentral describes it as "long non-coding RNA (PDAC_LNC000224)". The record is from RNAcentral. Lineage: Eukaryota; Viridiplantae; Streptophyta; Magnoliopsida; Arecales; Arecaceae.